This is an RNA transcript of Dermacentor silvarum, 2241 nucleotides long. It is a transcript of the gene named docking protein 1, with no coding region annotated. The transcript has 6 exons. Lineage: Eukaryota; Metazoa; Arthropoda; Arachnida; Ixodida; Ixodidae. The record is from RefSeq and is a predicted model, not a curated record.
UUUGAUGUUUAGUUAUUUCAUCCUACAGUAAACUGAAAAUCUUUCCCGCAGAAAGAAGCGCGAAAGAAAGCGCACGCAGGGAGAAGAAAACCGCUCUCUUUUCGAACACCGGUGUUUUGAUGGGUUGACAUUACGAUGGCAUUACACGUGAAUGCUAGUGAUGACAACUGAUCAUGCAUCGGUGCUGGCGCUUUUCUGUGGUUUGCCUGCCAGUGGGAAAACUACACUGGUACAAAGCAUUUGCACUGCAUUGGAAAGUCGUGGAACAGCACCAGCGCACGGCUUGCCUUGGUACCCAUGUGUCAUUUGCUAUGACGAACUCGUGAGCACGGAUGCACAAGCCGAAAUGGCACACAGCAAAGGUCUCACUAAGGAAUCCCGUCAGCAUUUGCUUGAAGCAGCUGACCACUACAUCGGAUGGCUUUGUGGAGCCUGUUGUGAGCCAAGCCCCAUGUGUACAGACCCUGUGAAGGAAAUGCUUAGCCAAUUAAAGACUGCAAGAAGGCAACUGCAACCUGAUGAAAAGCCUUUGAUCAUGGUUGAUGACAAUCUCUACUAUCGCAGCAUGCGGACUGCAUGGUUCAAGCUGGCCCGGAAGUACUCUUUGGGCUUCUGCCAGGUAUUUCUACUCUGCUCUACAGAAGAGGCUAUUCGAAGAAAUGGCUCUCGGGUCUUACCUGUGCCUGAACUGACAAUUAAGACUAUGGCGCAAAAAUUUGAGCUGCCUCGCGAUGAGCCUUGGGAACAGCACUCCGUAGCCGUUGAUGGAGGGCCAGGCAGCAUGGACAAAGUAAUGGCCAUUCUAGAGAUUGCAUCAAAGGACCCAUGGUCACCCGUGGAUACUGCGGGUUGUAUCACGGAACCAACACCUGCCAGUCAGAUUCACAUCUGGGACCUACAGCUUCGUGCCAUUGUGUCCAAGCUCAUCAGGCAAGCACAAGAAAAUUCGUCCAAGUCCGAGCUUCAGGCAUGGUGUCUCAGGGUGCAGAAGGCUCGCCAGAAUGUUUUAGACUACCUAAGAACUCUGGAUUUUUAUAAUGAAAAGGAGGAGCUGGACUUGGAAAGGCUCAUGCAAGUACAUCUCGACUGCAGCACUGAAGGUGCAAGCUGACAAUUUGAUGCCUCUAAUCUUUCCUUUUUCUCUUUUAUUUUGUGUGUGUGUGUGUGUGCCGGUAAAAGUCAAUGUACACACAGUGGCAUAAUAAAAGUAAUAAAAGUCAGUGCAUAAUCAUGGAUCACAGGGGUGCAUGGGUGCUCUUGCCUCCCCCCCCCCCCCCCCCCCCCCUGUCCCUUCCUGCACUUGUCCAUGGGGGAGGCGAAGCCCUCCUCCUGCCGGAAACCUUACACAGCCCCAAUCAUCCACUGCAUUUUGUUGUGAAGAUGUAUACUGCUGUAAUCUUGUCACAUAGUAGAAUUCAGGGCGAUUUUCCGGGUAUGUCAUUAUUGAAUAACCUACAUAUAGCCAUCAGCAAGUCUUUGUGAAGUUUGCAAGAACCUGUUUAAAAAAACUUCACAGCUCUUUUACAUUGUUUAUUUUCUCUGGAUAACUACCGACUGCAUUUUUUAGUUUACAAUUUGCAAUAUUGGCAAUAUUGGUGCCAAUAUUCCCAAGAUUGGCGCAAGCGCACAUGCGCGUAAGCAUGUGUGGCGCUCAGGGCAGCGAAACCGAAACUGCAUGCCGGCGCAGGCGAAGUCGGCGAAGCAAAACGGCUGAAACGUCCUACUGCCUACGGCAAUUGCGGUUUGCUGCCGCUCGUUUUUUUUUUUUUUCACCCAGUUCACCCACUUCGGCGGCGUUACGGCGGCGGCGCCCGCAGCGCCGACGCGCUUGUACACGCGGAGCCGCUGCGACGGCCAACCAACGCAUAGACAAAGGGCGGGCGAAUUUCAGUGGCACUCACUUCCGCAAUCGGCGCAGGCGCCGCCGCAGCGUCCCCCCCGUCCACUGACGUCUUCCACAUCCGGAGGGUGUUUCCUCGCGUGGUCGCCGUUGCUUUUUUGCUCGCAUCACACGGGCUGCCGUGCACGAUGGUGAGAUGGGCAGCGAGGAACCCGCCAAGACUGGCUACCUACACGUCCUCCACCAGGGAUUCCUCAAGGUAGAGACGCUUGUCGGGUCUGAUCUUGCUGCCCUUGCAGAAGUCGUGGUUGCACAAGUACUGCGCCCUGUACGAUAGCAGCCGGCACGGCGUGAAGCGACUUGAGGUGUAUGACUCGGAGGAGAGCUUCUCUCGCCAUGCC